CUCGGUUCGGAUCGGAGUCUGCAACCCGACUCCGUGAAGCUGGAUUCGCUAGUAAUCGCGCAUCAGCCAUGGCGCGGUGAAUACGUUCCCGGGCCUUGUACACACCGCCCGUCAAGCCAUGGAAGCCGGGGGUGCCUGAAGUGUGCAGCCGCAAGGAGCGCCCUAAGGUAAAACCGGUGACUGGGGCUAAGUCGUAACAAGGUACC
RNAcentral lists this ribosomal RNA (206 nucleotides) under uncultured bacterium. RNAcentral's name for it is "partial 16S ribosomal RNA". It matches the Rfam family "Bacterial small subunit ribosomal RNA", at positions 1287 to 1500 of the family's 1533-position model. The record is from RNAcentral.